UGCAACUCACAGAGGACCUUUACAUCAGUUCAGUUAAAACCCGAUGGGAAAUGUUAGGCACAGUGGGCCUACACAUCGGGCCAUUCAACAACUGAUGGAAAAUGUUACGACCAUUUUUUCCCUAAAACCCUAGACAUUCUUUACAAACACAAAUCUUUUCUUCUUCUUCUUCUUGCCGUAAGAAAAGCUCCAGUGGUCUCUCCAUCUCUCCAAGAACACAGCCAAUCACAACAAACACACCAAACACAAUCACAAACUCCAUCUCUCCACGAAAAGCUUCCACAACUUUGGACUAUUAUUCCAAACUAUUGUUAAUCCCCACAAAUGAGGGAUACGCUUACAACAUCUUCAAACCCAAAACAGCCUCCUGAGCUUCUAAAUUUGAUGAUGAAGCAUUUGAAAGAAGUAAUAUGUUUCAUGAAGUCCGAUGACCAACUUUCCUCUGCCAAUGAAGUCCGAUGCUUCAUGCUUCAGGGAGGAAGAAGUCCUAAGGAGGCAUCCAUGUUUUUGAAUUUCCUCGACAUAGUUUCGUCAUCUCGCAUCACAACUUUGAAUUGCUUGUCAGGAACUUCUCACACGGUCAACCUCACAUCGAAGCCAUGGUUGGUGAUGUGAAUAUUUUCAUGAAUGACAUCAAUAAUCCCCUAAUUGUUGAGAUUGAAAUUAUGAUUGCCGAACCAACCAGGUAACUACUAUUUUGAAAUUCAUCACAUAAUUGUGUUUGAAAUUGACCUAGAAAUUAACGCCAUUUCAAAUAAAACAAGUUGUACCAACCAGGUAACUACUAUUUUGAAGUUCAUCACAUAAUUGUGUUUGAAAUUGACCUAGAAAUUAACGCCAUUUCAAAUAUAACAAGUUGUGAGAUUGUUUGUUGUUUUGUUAGCAUAGCCGUGGUAAAGGACUAUGCUAUUGGAAAGGAGUCUGUUCUGAUGAUGAUGACCUUUGCUAUUGAGGAGUUAGGGAUCAACAUCUUUCAGGUUAAAAUUGGAGAAUCAAAUUAAGAAUCCAUCAACUUGUUCAAAAAAUUGGGGGUUUUUGGAAACUUCACAUAGCAACAUUUUCAAAGAGGUGGUUCCAGGCAAGACCUCGUAAAGGCAAGAUGGAGUAGUCGGUUGGUGACUCUUGGCUGGAUGUUAUUAUCUUUUGUUCUAUUUUCGUGUUUUCAUAGUACUUGUAUUUUGGAUUAUGUACUAGUACACGUUAUGUAUUAUUUUGGUCAUGAUACAUUCGGUUUUUGUACUAUGUACUGAUGAUGUAUUUUCUAUGAUGAUGUUAUGUACCAUUACUAGUAUUGCACGCAUAUUAUUCUAGACAUGUAUGUGCGGGGUGUAUGACUGUCACGACAAAAAGAAUUAAAUGAAGAAGGAAAUAAUUAUUUGGGAUUUUAUAAAAGGAAUUAGAUGUUUAAGAAUUUAAAAAAACAAAUGAACUGAGCUGUGAGACAACCACGUGACAGAUUGUAGAAAAGCAGGAGUAAAUUAGAUUUUGGUUGCAUUACAACUCACAAUUUAUGUUUUGGUCCAUGAAUGAGUUUUUUUUUUUCUUU
This is a long non-coding RNA of Vicia villosa (hairy vetch), 1546 nucleotides long. RefSeq lists it as uncharacterized. The record is from RefSeq and is a predicted model, not a curated record. The transcript has 3 exons. NCBI's taxonomy places the organism in Eukaryota, Viridiplantae, Streptophyta, Magnoliopsida, Fabales, Fabaceae.